GGGCGGUUAGCUCAGCUGGAAGAGCGGCUGGUUUACACCCAGUAGGUCGGGAGUUCGAACCUCUCACCGCCCACCA
RNAcentral lists this transfer RNA (76 nucleotides) under Hyphococcus flavus. RNAcentral's name for it is "tRNA-Val". It matches the Rfam family "tRNA". From Rfam's summary of the family: Transfer RNA (tRNA) molecules are approximately 80 nucleotides in length. Their secondary structure includes four short double-helical elements and three loops (D, anti-codon, and T loops). Lineage: Bacteria; Pseudomonadati; Pseudomonadota; Alphaproteobacteria; Parvularculales; Parvularculaceae. RNAcentral also lists the same sequence under 2 other names. The record is from RNAcentral.